CCAGACUCCUACGGGAGGCAGCAGUGGGGAAUAUUGGGCAAUGGGCGCAAGCCUGACCCAGCAACGCCGCGUGAAGGAAGAAGGCUUUCGGGUUGUAAACUUCUUUUAAGAGGGAAGAGUAGAAGACGGUACCUCUUGAAUAAGCCACGGCUAACUACGUGCCAGCAGCCGCGGUAAUACGUAGGUGGCAAGCGUUGUCCGGAUUUACUGGGUGUAAAGGGCGUGUAGCCGGGCCGGCAAGUCAGAUGUGAAAUCCCAAGGCUCAACCGGUGGCCUGCAUUUGAAACUGUUUUUCUUGAGUACUGGAGAGGCAGACGGAAUUCCUAGUGUAGCGGUGAAAUGCGUAGAUAUUAGGAGGAACACCAGUGGCGAAGGCGGAUUGCUGGACAGUAACUGACGCUGAGGCGCGAAAGCGUGGGGAGCAAACAGGAUUAGAUACCCGCGUAUAU
This 449-nucleotide ribosomal RNA is filed under the name uncultured bacterium. RNAcentral's name for it is "bacterial SSU rRNA". It matches the Rfam family "Bacterial small subunit ribosomal RNA", at positions 331 to 794 of the family's 1533-position model. The record is from RNAcentral.